This is a long non-coding RNA of Symphalangus syndactylus (siamang), 165 nucleotides long. RefSeq lists it as uncharacterized. The record is from RefSeq and is a predicted model, not a curated record. Lineage: Eukaryota; Metazoa; Chordata; Mammalia; Primates; Hylobatidae.
UGCAGCCAUGUGGAAAUCACUAUUCACAAUAGCCAAGUUAUGGAAUUGACCUACGUGCCCAUCAACAGAAGAAUGGAUAAAGAAGAUGUGGCAUCACCCACAGAGCCAAAGAAUCUGGACAAAGGACCAGGACAGUCUCUCAGGCUCCCAACCUGGAAGGACCAC